This 1867-nucleotide long non-coding RNA is filed under the name Phaseolus vulgaris (common bean). Its description in RNAcentral is "long non-coding RNA (PVUL_LNC004508)". Lineage: Eukaryota; Viridiplantae; Streptophyta; Magnoliopsida; Fabales; Fabaceae. The record is from RNAcentral.
GAAAACAAAACUAAACUUGUACUAUUAAAAUAAGCAGAACAUUGUUUAAAAUAAGCAAAACAUUAAAUUCACAAAAAAGAUGUGCUUGGCAAAUUACAUUAAAAAUUACAUUGUUUUAAAGUGCUAACAACUCCAUCGGGGAUACAUCACUAUUAGCCUCAAAUAUCAACUUAUCACCUUCACGAAGUGCAUGGAUCUGACAAAACUCUCUCCAUCCAUAACUAAAUUUAACAGAAGGUUUGGAAGGUGUCCUUAUGAGAAUUUUGCACUUUACUUCACUUUUAGGUCCAUGCAGGUGAGUAUACUUUAAACUGCUUUCCCGAAUGUAGCUGGCAAAUGCAAUAAGAAGAUCCUGCAAACAAACACGUGUAUAAAUAAUUGAAUGAAGUAAUAUAAAGUAAAGAUAUUAUGAAAAGAAAAUUUAUCAGGUGGUUUGAAUUGCACUGAUAGCGUGAUAGUAUGAUAGUAAAAUGAACAUACGGACCAUGAAUGAGUGGGUCACGAUUAUGGAUACGUUCAUAAAAUUUGUAUACAAAUGCAUAAUUUGAUUUUCCCUUAAACACAAUAAACUUAAAACAGCUAUUUCCUACAUAAUAAAAAUAUACAUCGUGAUUUCCGCGAAGGCCAUAAAAUUCUUGUAUAUCGACCACCCUCCAGACAGCUCAAGCCGAACCAAAUCCAUAUUGCACUUAACAAUGUGUCUAUUGUUAUCGUCAUCCACCAAAAAUCAAGUAUGACAAAGUUCAUUGCCAAACUCUAUGGCAAAGGCCUGAUCAACUAAAGCAUGAUCCUUUACAAAAACAAAAACAUGUUACAUCUUCAUUAACAGUAAUAUGAAAUUAAAAAGAAAUAAAAGAAAGCAUAUCACGUCUAAGAUGUGCAUUGGGUGGAACUUUCCCUUAGAUUCCAUCAUGAAUAGUGUCAUCCAAAUUCGGAAAAGUUGGUACUAAAACAGAAAAACCCAAAAAUCAGAAAAAAUAAAAUCAGCCAAAACCAAAUAAAUAGACUAUUGAGAAGGAAAAAAUAUUAACAUGCAGAGAAGUGUGAAAAAAAAACACCAAAAAAUGAAUGAGAAGUGUGCACAUUGAAAAAAUACAGAACAACAAAAAUAAAAUAUGGCAAAACCCAAGAAACAUACUAUUGAGAAGGAAAAGAUAUUAACAUGCAGAGAAGUGUAGAUAAAAUACCACAAAAUGUAUGAGAAGUGUGCACAGUGGAAAAAUACAAAACAGGAAAAGUAAAAUCAGACAAAACCCAAAAAAUAGACUAUUGAGAAAGGAAACAUAUUAAGAUGAGAACUGUAGAUAAAAUACCACAAAAUGUAUAAGAAGUGUGCAUUGUGGAAAAAUACAAAAUAGGAAAAGUAAAAUCAGGCAAAACCCAAGAAAUAGACUAUUGAGAAGAUAAACAUAUUAACAUGCAGGGAAGUAUAGAUAAAAUACCACAAAAUGUAUGACAAGUGUGCACAGUGAAAAAAUACAAAACAGGACAAAUAAAAUCAAGCAAAACCCAAGAAACAAACUAUUGAGAAGCAAAAUAUAUUAGCAUGUAGAGAACUUAAUGAAAAGAUAAAGGACAAAAAUAUGCAUCGAAAAAAAUUAAAAAAGGAAAUACAAACAAACCUAUUUGGUUGCAUGGCCUUCCUUGUGAACAAAGGCAAGAUGUGUGGACGUAGUUUGCCAUAAUAGAACGCUCCAAAAGAACAAAAUAAUUAGGGAUUAGAAUGCAAAACAAAAAACUCUUCAAAGGAAAAGAAUAGGUUUAAAUGAGAUGUACCAUCAGAAAGAAGAUAUCAAUGAGAUGUGCAGAGUGCAUGUACAAUCAGAAUGAAGAUAGCAAUGAGAAAUCAUCAUUGCACUUAAUUAAU